CCUACGGGAGGCAGCAGUGGGGAAUAUUGGACAAUGGGGGGAACCCUGAUCCAGCGACGCCGCGUGAGUGAAGAAGUAUUUCGGUAUGUUAAGCUCUAUCAGCAGGGAAGAAAGGCAUGACGGUACCUGACUAAUAAGCCCCGGCUAACUACGUGCCAGCAGCCGCGGUAAUACGUAGGGGGCAAGCGUUCUCCGGAUUUACUGGGUGUAAAGGGCGCGUAGGCGGUUAAGCAAGUCUGGAGUGAAAGGCGGGGGACCAACCCCCGGACUGCUUUGGAAACUGUAUGACUGGAGUGCAGGAGAGGUAAGUGGAAUGCGUAGUGUAGCGGUGAAAUGCGUAGAUAUUAGGAGGAACACCAGUGGCGAAGGCGGCUUACUGGACUGUAACUGACGUUGAGGCUCGAAAGCGUGGGGAGCAAACAGGAUUAGAUACCCGAGUAGUC
This 443-nucleotide ribosomal RNA is filed under the name uncultured bacterium. RNAcentral describes it as "partial 16S ribosomal RNA". It matches the Rfam family "Bacterial small subunit ribosomal RNA", at positions 338 to 795 of the family's 1533-position model. The record is from RNAcentral.